Molecule: long non-coding RNA, 1023 nt
Filed under: Equus caballus (horse)
Lineage: Eukaryota; Metazoa; Chordata; Mammalia; Perissodactyla; Equidae
Description: lncRNA (ENSECAG00000055136.1)
Source: RNAcentral
CUGUCAUCCAUGGGAGGCAGCAGAUUGGAGCGGAGAGCCAGGCACUUGGGAUGAGGAAGCUGAACACUAGAUCUUGAAAUGACUUUUUGAAGUCCCACAACUUUGGACUAACAUGAUUGAAACCAGAAACCAGAUCUUGUGGUUCUCAGAACAAUCAUCUUCCUAUGUCGUCAAAGAAUUGAGAAGUGGAUGGAACGUUAAAAUGCAGAAACGAAGCCACUGUGUGAGAGGGAGUCAGUGUGAAACUAAGUAAGACUCUAGGCUUUGGACAUGCCUCUGAAUCUUCCAGCUAUGUGCCACCAGACUGUGAGCUCCAGAAGACCAACACUCUCACUCACUCGGUAUUCCCAGCACCUGGCACAGAGCCAAUACUGAGUAUGAGCCGAUCAUCCUGCUGACAGUAUAAAGGAACGACAGAGGAAAAGGGGAAGUCGGGGAAGUGGGGCUGGUUUCUGGGCAGAAGGAGCAGGUGCCAGGAGAGUGGGAACAAUAACAAGUGGGUGAGUUGGGGUUGGAGGAGAUGAGUGGAGAGUGAGGAGUGGUAAUGGAGAUGUGUGGUUGGGCAGAAGCUGGGGGUUGGGGUCCCACCAUCUCUACUGAUGCUCCACCCCAACGCCUGGAAGAAGACUAGACUCUAGUUCCUGCGCUGUGACUUCCGUGUUCCCCUCAAAUCUCAUUGCCAUCAAUGGCAUGGGAUUCAUCACACCUCUCACUCAGGGUCAUGGCGAGAUUGAAAUGGAACAAUGCAAUGUGAAGACACUGCAUGAAUAAGAGGCACCAGCAUAUGGAGAGGGGAAAGCUGGCCCCUAGGGCGUGGAGUCAGCACACAGCUGGGACCAGAACCCAGGUGCCUGGACUGCUAAUCAAGGGCCCUCCCAAAACAUGGGGUUGCCCCCAUGGGAGCUCUAGAGUGAGGAACCUUGGAUUUUAAGCAAUGCAAAGGAAUUCUUCGUAUGCUCCCACACAAAGCCCAUACUCACGGCCAGCUCCGAGGCAAGCCGAUUGGAUGCUGAGGAACAGGAA